This 482-nucleotide ribosomal RNA is filed under the name uncultured bacterium. Its description in RNAcentral is "partial 16S ribosomal RNA". It matches the Rfam family "Bacterial small subunit ribosomal RNA", at positions 30 to 507 of the family's 1533-position model. The record is from RNAcentral.
AUUGAACGCUGGCGGCGUGCCUUACACAUGCAAGUCGAACGGUAACGGGCCUUCGGGUGCCGACGAGUGGCGAACGGGUGAGUAAUACAUCGGAACGUGCCCGAUCGUGGGGGAUAGCGAGGCGAAAGCUUUGCUAAUACCGCAUACGAUCUACGGAUGAAAGCAGGGGACCGCAAGGCCUUGCGCGGACGGAGCGGCCGAUGGCAGAUUAGGUAGUUGGUGGGAUAAAAGCUUACCAAGCCGACGAUCUGUAGCUGGUCUGAGAGGAUGAUCAGCCACACUGGGACUGAGACACGGCCCAGACUCCUACGGGAGGCAGCAGUGGGGAAUUUUGGACAAUGGGCGCAAGCCUGAUCCAGCCAUGCCGCGUGCAGGAUGAAGGCCUUCGGGUUGUAAACUGCUUUUGUACGGAACGAAAAGCCUUCUUUUAAUACAGGAGGGUCAUGACGGUACCGUAAGAAUAAGCACCGGCUAACUACGUG